Oreochromis niloticus (Nile tilapia) is the source of this 909-nucleotide long non-coding RNA. RefSeq lists it as uncharacterized. Lineage: Eukaryota; Metazoa; Chordata; Actinopteri; Cichliformes; Cichlidae. The record is from RefSeq and is a predicted model, not a curated record. The transcript is spliced from 6 exons.
GUUUUUCCUCCUAGUUCUUCCGGUCCUAGUUUCUGUCCCAGAGGAAAAGAAUCAGUGGAGAUAUAGCUGAAACCAAAAUAAGAUGUCCCCCACAAGAAAUAUGUGAGUUAUUUAUUAAAAUUGGCUGUAUUCCCAUGUCUGUUUCUUCCCCGGUGUCAAGCCUGUAUCCUAGGCAGGCAGAGUUGUUGAGGAUGCCAAGGGCACUCCACUUAAUAGGGUCCUGGAUUACCUGGAUGGUGCGAAGAAUUCUGUCUCAAAAGAUGACUCCCAUCAAUGCAUUGCUGAUCAGUGAUGAACAAUCGAAUUGAUGAAUUAACUGAGUAGUGUAAAGGUUUCUUUUUGGACAUCAGUUGGCCAACAAUUGAACUCUCUUGCUCAUCUUUGUUUUAUUUAUUUCCAGGCCGCUGAAGUUGUACGGCUUCAUAAGUGUGACAGGCAGCAACGAUGUUAGCUUUUGAUCCAAACACUGGUGAAUUAUGUGGGAAGGUCCAUCUGUUGUUGUACUUUUAUCAGAAGCACUACAGAGCCCAAAAGUUUUGAUCUAGACUCAAAUUGCAUGAGAAUGCUUUAGCCUCAUUGCAUUGAGUUGGUACUCAGAGAAAGGUCAUUUUCUUUAGGUAAAAAGUUUUGGGGGUUUUUUAACUGCUAGAAACAACCUAAACAACCUCUUCCAACUGUUAAAGGUCAGAGUCUCUAAUAAGGCCCAGUCAGUCCUCACUGACCUGCUCACCCUUUGUUAAAUAAGUUAAGGUUGCUUUGAACUCAUUUGUCCCUUAUUUGUGUCGUUUUAAAUGAAGUGAUGCAGCUUUAUUUGUUUUGCGUGACUUGUUUGUGUGUUGACUGUUGGUGAUAACUGUGCAACAAGUUGCUCCUCAGAGAUAAUAAAAAUGACUUUGACCUUUAAUGAAA